CCCAGGCGCUGAGCUGCCCCUUGCGAGCUCUGUGUCGUCCCCGCCUAGCUCACAAUGAACUCUCUGCUCCUCCCUGUGCUCCUCCUGGCUCUGGCCCCGGGUGUCCUGUCCCAGCUCCAGCUCCAGGAGUCCGGCCCAGGGGUGGUGAAGCCUGGAGAGACCCUCACACUCACCUGCACUGUCACCGGGGGCACCAUCACUAGCAGCUACUACUGGAAUUGGCUACGCCAGGCCCCGGGCCAAGCGCUGGAGUGGAUGGGAUACUGGAAAGGGGGAACAAGCUACGCCCCGUCUCUCCAAGGCCGAAUCACCAUCUCCGUGGAUUCUUCCAACACCAAAUACUAUCUGCGGCUGAGCUCGCUGACAGCUGCAGACACCGGCACCUAUUACUGCGCCAGAGACACGGUGACACAGCAGAGCAGGGACCGUACAAAAAGGGGAAGCGGAUUUUAA
Molecule: non-coding RNA, 453 nt
Organism: Trachemys scripta elegans
Lineage: Eukaryota; Metazoa; Chordata; Testudines; Emydidae
Source: the annotation of a RefSeq genome assembly